UCACUUCACAUUAAGCUGCAAGCGCCUAUAUCGGUGCUGCCCGUUUCGGCGGGAUAUGGCGAUAAAUGGCCUCGUGUAAUAGACGCAACGGACCCGGGGGCAGUACCCGGCGGCUCCACCACCGAACCCCACAGGGGCGCGAUGACGGGGCCGAACCAGGAUCGACGUGUGUUGAAAGACGUGUGUUUUCGCCCGGGCUGAGUAACCCGUAAAACUGUUCACAACACACAAGUGCCAACGAUAACGAAGCACUCGCAAUCGCAGCGUAAUGUGACGGGCUAACGCCCUGAAGUUACAAAGCUAAAGCGCGGUUGGACCCACCGGGCAACAGAAGCGGAUUCCG
RNAcentral lists this transfer-messenger RNA (343 nucleotides) under Parerythrobacter lacustris. It matches the Rfam family "Alphaproteobacteria transfer-messenger RNA". From Rfam's summary of the family: Bacterial tmRNA, also known as 10Sa RNA or SsrA, is named for its dual tRNA and mRNA-like properties. Its role is to liberate the mRNA from a stalled ribosome. Lineage: Bacteria; Pseudomonadati; Pseudomonadota; Alphaproteobacteria; Sphingomonadales; Erythrobacteraceae. The record is from RNAcentral.